UGCUGGGUAGUGUAUUUUUGGUUGGCAGCUUUUUUUCUUUUAGCACAUUGAAUAUAUCACGCCACUCCCUACCUGCCUGCCAAGUUUCUGCUAAAAAAUCCACUGACUAAAAAUCCAUGGGGGUUACCUUAUACAUAACAAGGUAAAUUUUCUCUUCCUGCUUUAAAAAUUCUCUUCUUGGGAUCCCUGGAUAGCUCAGCUGGUUAAGCGUCUGCCUUUGGCUCAGGUCAUGAUCCCAAGGUCCUGGAAUCAAGUCCCACAUUUGGCUCCUUGCUCAGCAGGGGGGCCUGCUUCUCCCUCUGCCUGUGCUCUAAUAAAUAAAAUCUUUAAAAAAAAUAAAAUAAAAAUUCUCUUCUUUAACUUUUCAUAAUUUAAUUAUGUUUCUUGGUGUGGGUCUCUUGAAUUCAUCUUAUUUAUAACUCUGUGGACUUCUUGGAACUAGAUGCCCAUUUCUUUCCCCAGAUUAGGGAAAUUUCUAGCCAUUAUUUCUUCAAUAAGCUUUCUGCUCCUUUCUGUCUCUCUUUUUCUGGGACAACUAUAUUGCAAAUAUUCAUCCACUUGAUGGUAUCCUUUAAGUCCCUUAAGGUAUCUCCAGUCUUUUCCAUUUUUUUUUUCUCUUUUUGUUCCUGUGUUUGGAUGAAUUCCACUGCCCAAUCUUUGAGUUCACUGAUCUUUUCUUCCAGCUGAUCUAGUCUUUUGAAUUUUUCUGUAGUUACUGUAUUCUUUUCAGGUCUGUGGUUUCUGUUUGGUACAUUCUUUUAUUUCUAUCUCCUAAAAUUCUCACUUUGUUCAUGCAUUAUUCUCCUGACCAUGCUAAACAUCUUUAUGACUAUUAUUUUGCACUCUUUGUCAGACAAAUCACUUAUCUCCAUUUCAUUAAGGUCUGUUUCUGGAGUUUUUCCUUGUUCUUUUUUUGGAACAUGUUCCUGUUUCUUCAUUAUCCUUGAUUCUCUGUUUUGGUUUCUAUGUAUUAGGUAAAACAGCCACUCUUCCAGUCUUUAUAAAGUGGUCUUGUGUAGGAGAUGGACCUUAUUGUUCAGCCUGCCUUGAGCUCUUAGUUAUCUCUUUGUGGAAGUCAAAACUGCCUUUUUUUCCUUAGUAGCUCCCAGUAGUUGUGGGUGCCAAUACCUGUCAGUGUGCCAAAGGGUAGGAUCUCAGUCAGCACUAGAUAUAAGCUGACUGAAAGCUGAACCCUUAGUCAGCAGCUUUUAAAGUAUGCAAGCAGACUUCUUUCAGGGUAAGACUAGGAGCUCAGCAUUUUCCUCUGCUCAUCUCUGCUCUGAGUCCUCAAGGGAUAGCCAGAAUGGACAACACCAAGAGUAAACUUUAACAUACACUACAGACUUUGGAUGAUUAUAACACGCCAAUGCAGAUUCAUCAAUUGUAACAAAUGUACCAUUCUGAGAACUAUCGAUGGAGAAAAUAGCCUUCAACAUCCAAGCAGUCACAGGUGUGGCCUCAUCCAUGUCUAAGCAGCCAUGUGUCUACUAUGAUUUGCCUCAGAAAGACAAGUCACUAAAGUUGGGCCAAUAAGAUUUUUAAUUGAGAGAUACAGAGUCUGGGAAGGAGAAGCUAAGACACACUAAUGGCUAAUCUCUAAAUCAAAGAUCCAUGAUUUCCUGCUGGUGAGGUUCCCAGAGCUGCCCUGAGACCCGGUUCAUCUUUCACCUUUAUCUUAGAUUCCUUGGGAUACACAAACAUGAUU
Callorhinus ursinus (northern fur seal) is the source of this 1705-nucleotide long non-coding RNA. RefSeq lists it as uncharacterized. The record is from RefSeq and is a predicted model, not a curated record. NCBI's taxonomy places the organism in Eukaryota, Metazoa, Chordata, Mammalia, Carnivora, Otariidae.